UAGGGAAUCUUCCGCAAUGGACGCAAGUCUGACGGAGCAACGCCGCGUGAGUGAAGAAGGAUUUCGGUUCGUAAAACUCUGUUGUUAGAGAAGAACAGCGCAUAGAGUAACUGUUAUGCGUGUGACGGUAUCUAACCAGAAAGCCACGGCUAACUACGUGCCAGCAGCCGCGGUAAUACGUAGGUGGCAAGCGUUGUCCGGAUUUAUUGGGCGUAAAGCGAGCGCAGGCGGUCAAUUAAGUCUGAUGUGAAAGCCCACGGCUCAACCGUGGAGGGUCAUUGGAAACUGGAAAACUUGAGUGCAGAAGAGGAAAGUGGAAUUCCAUGUGUAGCGGUGAAAUGCGCAGAGAUAUGGAGGAACACCAGUGGCGAAAGCGGCUCUCUGGUCUGUAACUGACGCUGAGGCUCGAAAGCGUGGGGAGCGAACAGG
Molecule: ribosomal RNA, 429 nt
Filed under: Bacteroidota bacterium
Lineage: Bacteria; Pseudomonadati; Bacteroidota
Description: Bacteroidetes bacterium partial 16S ribosomal RNA
Rfam family: Bacterial small subunit ribosomal RNA
Source: RNAcentral